GUUCUUCAACAACUGCCGAAGAAAAAACUGGUAAACGUCUAGAAGAAAUAUGAAACAUUAUAAGUAAAUGUUAAACGCGUGCAAAGAAUUAACUUAAAAUCGUCGAAGUAUCCGAUAUUGGAAAGAAAACGUUCAGUAAUCAAUUCAGCAGAGAGAUAUAUGUAAAACGAGAUUAUUAUUUUAUACUCUGUAAACUAAUGCUGGCAAAGAUUGGAUAGGAUGGCAUGGCAAUAUUGCUAAAUUUACGACAAAUUUAUAUUUCUUCAACUAUGGUUUAUGCUGGAGCAC
This is a long non-coding RNA of Glossina fuscipes, 288 nucleotides long. RefSeq lists it as uncharacterized. The transcript is spliced from 3 exons. The record is from RefSeq and is a predicted model, not a curated record. Lineage: Eukaryota; Metazoa; Arthropoda; Insecta; Diptera; Glossinidae.